This 319-nucleotide long non-coding RNA is filed under the name Elaeis guineensis (African oil palm). RNAcentral's name for it is "long non-coding RNA (EGUI_LNC038184)". The record is from RNAcentral. Lineage: Eukaryota; Viridiplantae; Streptophyta; Magnoliopsida; Arecales; Arecaceae.
UCCAAACAAGGCAAGACAAGUUAGACGCCCCCUCUUUCUUUUUGUGCAUGGACCACCAGAAAAGGGUGCAUAUUAUAUGCCAUAAAAGUCAUAAAAAUUUUAAAAGAAAUUUGGAUAAAAUCAGUAUCAUAAGGAAAGAGUUUUGGUUUCCUAAAACUCUAUCUCAUAGAAUUUGAAAUCCAAACUAAUUCCUACUUUGACUUGAUCCACAAUCACUUUCCAUGUAAGAGAGAAAGAGAGAAAAGUUUUGGGCAUGUGUGAAGACCUGGGAGAGAAGUUUUGUUGCACAAAAAAAGAGAGAGUGGGCGUGGGAUAAGAG